Molecule: ribosomal RNA, 698 nt
Filed under: uncultured bacterium
Lineage: Bacteria
Description: bacterial SSU rRNA
Rfam family: Bacterial small subunit ribosomal RNA
Source: RNAcentral
UACACACGGAUAACAUACCGAAAGGUAUGCUAAUACGGGAUAAUAUAUUUGAGAGGCAUCUCUUAAAUAUCAAAGGUGAGCCAGUACAGGAUGGACCCGCGUCUGAUUAGCUAGUUGGUAAGGUAACGGCUUACCAAGGCGACGAUCAGUAGCCGACCUGAGAGGGUGAUCGGCCACAUUGGAACUGAGACACGGUCCAAACUCCUACGGGAGGCAGCAGUGGGGAAUAUUGCACAAUGGGCGAAAGCCUGAUGCAGCAACGCCGCGUGAGUGAUGAAGGCCUUCGGGUCGUAAAACUCUGUCCUCAAGGAAGAUAAUGACGGUACUUGAGGAGGAAGCCCCGGCUAACUACGUGCCAGCAGCCGCGGUAAUACGUAGGGGGCUAGCGUUAUCCGGAUUUACUGGGCGUAAAGGGUGCGUAGGCGGUCUUUCAAGUCAGGAGUGAAAGGCUACGGCUCAACCGUAGUAAGCUCUUGAAACUGGGAGACUUGAGUGCAGGAGAGGAGAGUGGAAUUCCUAGUGUAGCGGUGAAAUGCGUAGAUAUUAGGAGGAACACCAGUUGCGAAGGCGGCUCUCUGGACUGUAACUGACGCUGAGGCACGAAAGCGUGGGGAGCAAACAGGAUUAGAUACCCUGGUAGUCCACGCUGUAAACGAUAAGUACUAGGUGUCGGGGGUUACCCCCUUCGGUGCCGCAGC